AUACGUAGGUGGCAAGCGUUGUCCGGAUUUAUUGGGUUUAAAGGGUGCGUAGGCGGCCCCGUAAGUCAGUGGUGAAAUACCGCAGCUCAACUGUGGGGGUGCCAUUGAUACUGCGGGGCUUGAGUGGAGUCGGGGUGGCCGGAAUUUACGGUGUAGCGGUGAAAUGCAUAGAUACCGUAAAGAACACCGAUAGCGAAGGCAGCCUGCUGGGCAGAUACCGACGCUGAGGCACGAAAGUGUGGGGAUC
Molecule: ribosomal RNA, 247 nt
Filed under: uncultured bacterium
Lineage: Bacteria
Description: partial 16S ribosomal RNA
Rfam family: Bacterial small subunit ribosomal RNA
Source: RNAcentral